This 508-nucleotide ribosomal RNA is filed under the name uncultured bacterium. RNAcentral describes it as "partial 16S ribosomal RNA". It matches the Rfam family "Bacterial small subunit ribosomal RNA", at positions 30 to 523 of the family's 1533-position model. The record is from RNAcentral.
AUUGAACGCUGGCGGCAUGCCUUACACAUGCAAGUCGAACGGCAGCGGGGGAGAAGCUUGCUUUUCCUGCCGGCGAGUGGCGAACGGGUGAGUAAUACAUCGGAACGUGCCCUGUAGUGGGGGAUAACUACGCGAAAGCGUAGCUAAUACCGCAUACGAACUCAGGUUGAAAGCGGGGGAUCGCAAGACCUCGCGCGAUUGGAGCGGCCGAUGGCAGAUUAGGUAGUUGGUGGGGUAAAGGCUCACCAAGCCGACGAUCUGUAGCUGGUCUGAGAGGACGACCAGCCACACUGGGACUGAGACACGGCCCAGACUCCUACGGGAGGCAGCAGUGGGGAAUUUUGGACAAUGGGCGCAAGCCUGAUCCAGCCAUUCCGCGUGCAGGAUGAAGGCCCUCGGGUUGUAAACUGCUUUUGUACGGAACGAAACGCGCCGGGUUAAUACCCUGGCGUAAUGACGGUACCGUAAGAAUAAGCACCGGCUAACUACGUGCCAGCCGCCGCGGUAA